RNAcentral lists this transfer RNA (68 nucleotides) under Marmota marmota marmota (Alpine marmot). It matches the Rfam family "tRNA". Rfam says of the family: Transfer RNA (tRNA) molecules are approximately 80 nucleotides in length. Their secondary structure includes four short double-helical elements and three loops (D, anti-codon, and T loops). RNAcentral also lists the same sequence under 1 other name. The record is from Rfam by way of RNAcentral. Lineage: Eukaryota; Metazoa; Chordata; Mammalia; Rodentia; Sciuridae.
GUGGUGGCUCAGUGGUAGAGCGUUUGCCUAGCAUGUGCAAGGCACUGAGUUCAAUUCUCAACACCACA